This 465-nucleotide ribosomal RNA is filed under the name uncultured bacterium. RNAcentral's name for it is "partial 16S ribosomal RNA". It matches the Rfam family "Bacterial small subunit ribosomal RNA", at positions 28 to 507 of the family's 1533-position model. The record is from RNAcentral.
GAUGAACGCUGGCGGCGUGCUUAACACAUGCAAGUCGAACGGAAAGGCCCAAGCUUGCUUGGGUGCUCGAGUGGCGAACGGGUGAGUAACACGUGGGUGAUCUGCCCUGCACUUCGGGAUAAGCCUGGGAAACUGGGUCUAAUACCGGAUAGGACCACCUUUUGGAUGGUGUGGUGGAAAGUUUUUCGGUGUGGGAUGAGCUCGCGGCCUAUCAGCUUGUUGGUGGGGUAGUGGCCUACCAAGGCGUCGACGGGUAGCCGGCCUGAGAGGGUGUACGGCCACAUUGGGACUGAGAUACGGCCCAGACUCCUACGGGAGGCAGCAGUGGGGAAUAUUGCACAAUGGGCGCAAGCCUGAUGCAGCGACGCCGCGUGGGGGAUGACGGCCUUCGGGUUGUAAACUCCUUUCGCUAGGGACGAAGCGCAAGUGACGGUACCGGGAGAAGAAGCACCGGCUAACUACGUG